AGCGGAAAUUUUAUUGGUGCUUGCACCUUUAAAAUUUUAGCGGCGGACGGGUGAGUAACACGUGGGUAACCUACCUUAUAGAUUGGGAUAACUCCGGGAAACCGGGGCUAAUACCGAAUAAUACUUUUUAACACAUGUUUGAAAGUUGAAAGACGGUUUCGGCUGUCACUAUAAGAUGGACCCGCGGCGCAUUAGCUAGUUGGUGAGGUAACGGCUCACCAAGGCAACGAUGCGUAGCCGACCUGAGAGGGUGAUCGGCCACACUGGGACUGAGACACGGCCCAGACUCCUACGGGAGGCAGCAGUAGGGAAUCUUCCACAAUGGACGAAAGUCUGAUGGAGCAACGCCGCGUGAGUGAAGAAGGAUUUCGGUUCGUAAAACUCUGUUGCAAGGGAAGAACAAGUAGCGUAGUAACUGGCGCUACCUUGACGGUACCUUGUUAGAAAGCCACGGCUAACUACGUGCCAGCAGCCGCGGUAAUACGUAGGUGGCAAGCGUUGUCCGGAAUUAUUGGGCGUAAAGCGCGCGCAGGUGGUUC
Molecule: ribosomal RNA, 539 nt
Filed under: bacterium 15BL
Lineage: Bacteria
Description: bacterial SSU rRNA
Rfam family: Bacterial small subunit ribosomal RNA
Source: RNAcentral